RNAcentral lists this ribosomal RNA (305 nucleotides) under uncultured bacterium. RNAcentral describes it as "bacterial SSU rRNA". It matches the Rfam family "Bacterial small subunit ribosomal RNA", at positions 335 to 638 of the family's 1533-position model. The record is from RNAcentral.
UCACCUACGGGGCGCAGCAGUGAGGAAUAUUGGUCAAUGGCCGAGAGGCUGAACCAGCCAAGUCGCGUGAGGGAUGACGGCCCUACGGGUUGUAAACCUCUUUUGCCGGGGAGCAAAGAGCGGGACGCGUCCCGCCUCGAGAGUACCCGGAGAAAAAGCAUCGGCUAACUCCGUGCCAGCAGCCGCGGUAAUACGGAGGAUGCGAGCGUUAUCCGGAUUUAUUGGGUUUAAAGGGUGCGCAGGCGGCGAGUUAAGUCAGCGGUAAAAUUUCGGGGCUCAACCCCGACAAGCCGUUGAAACUGGCU